This 483-nucleotide ribosomal RNA is filed under the name uncultured bacterium. Its description in RNAcentral is "partial 16S ribosomal RNA". It matches the Rfam family "Bacterial small subunit ribosomal RNA", at positions 28 to 507 of the family's 1533-position model. The record is from RNAcentral.
AUUGAACGCUGGCGGCAUGCUUUACACAUGCAAGUCGAACGGCAGCGCGGGCUUCGGCCUGGCGGCGAGUGGCGAACGGGUGAGUAAUGCAUCGGAACGUGCCCAGUAGUGGGGGAUAGCCCGGCGAAAGCCGGAUUAAUACCGCAUACGACCUGAGGGUGAAAGCGGGGGACCGAAAGGCCUCGCGCUAUUGGAGCGGCCGAUGUCGGAUUAGCUGGUUGGUGGGGUAAAGGCUUACCAAGGCGACGAUCCGUAGCUGGUCUGAGAGGACGACCAGCCACACUGGGACUGAGCCAGGGCCCAGACUCCUACGGGAGGCAGCAGUGGGAAUUUUGGACAAUGGGGGCAACCCUGAUCCAGCCAUGCCGCGUGCGGGAAGAAGGCCUUCGGGUUGUAAACCGCUUUUGUUCGGGAAGAAAUCCUCUGGGCUAAUACCCCGGGGGGAUGACGGUACCGGAAGAAUAAGCACCGGCUAACUACGUG